Molecule: ribosomal RNA, 442 nt
Filed under: uncultured bacterium
Lineage: Bacteria
Description: partial 16S ribosomal RNA
Rfam family: Bacterial small subunit ribosomal RNA
Source: RNAcentral
CCUACGGGCGUCAGCAGUGGGGGAUAUUGCACAAUGGGGGAAACCCUGAUGCAGCGACGCCGCGUGAGGGAAGACGGCCUUCGGGUUGUAAACCUCUGUCGAAGGGGACGAAGGAAGUGACGGUACACUGUGAGGAAGCCACGGCUAACUACGUGACAGCAGCCGCGGUACUCCGUAGGUGGCGAGCGUUGUCCGGCAUUACUGGGUGUAAAGGUAGCGUAGGCGGGAGUUCAAGUUGAAGGUAUAAACUAUCGGCUCAACUGAUAGAAGCGUUCAAAACUGCACUUCUUGAGUGAAGUAGAGGCAUGCGGAAUGCCUAGUGUAGCGGUGAAAUGCGUAGAUAUUAGGAGGAACACCAGUGGCGAAGGCGGCCAGCUGGGCUUUAACUGACGCUGAGGCUCGAAAGCGUGGGUAGCAAACAGGAUUAGAUACCCGGGUAGUC